Molecule: ribosomal RNA, 467 nt
Filed under: uncultured bacterium
Lineage: Bacteria
Description: bacterial SSU rRNA
Rfam family: Bacterial small subunit ribosomal RNA
Source: RNAcentral
CCAGACUCCUACGGGAGGCAGCAGUGAGGAAUAUUGGUCAAUGGGCGAGAGCCUGAACCAGCCAAGUCGCGUGAGGGAAGACGGUCCUAUGGAUUGUAAACCUCUUUUGUCGGGGAGCAAAAAGGCCUCGUGAGGCCACAAGCGAGAGUACCCGAAGAAAAAGCAUCGGCUAACUCCGUGCCAGCAGCCGCGGUAAUACGGAGGGUGCGAGCGUUAAUCGGAAUUACUGGGCGUAAAGCGCUCGUAGGCGGUAUGUCAAGUCAAGGGUGAAAUCCCCGCGCUCAACGUGGGAACUGCCUUUGAAACUGGCAAACUGGAGUGUGUGAGAGGAUAGUGGAAUUCCAGGUGUAGGAGUGAAAUCCGUAGAUAUCUGGAGGAACAUCAGUGGCGAAGGCGACUAUCUGGCACAUAACUGACGCUGAGGAUCGAAAGCGUGGGUAGCAAACAGGACUAGAUACCCGUGUAUC